AAUCCCCUGGGUUUUCCGAGACCCAGCGGGAUGUUGGACCUGGGCGCCUGCCAUGCUUGGCUCGCCUCAAAAGCGUCAGUGGGACAGGACCGAUGGCCUGACGUGAUAAGUUUCGUCAAGCCCGCGGCCCUGGCCUGCUACCAAAACCCCAUAUCUUUACUUCUGACCUCAAAUCAGGUAGGGCUACCCGCUGAACUUAA
This 200-nucleotide unclassified non-coding RNA is filed under the name soil metagenome. RNAcentral's name for it is "partial contains internal transcribed spacer 2 and large subunit ribosomal RNA". The record is from RNAcentral.